UAUGAACAUGAACUUUAUGCUGUUGUCUAUUAUCUGCUCCUUCCCUUGUAUCAGCAGCUGUCUAAAAGCAAGGAGCACAGAAAAGCCAAUUUCUCUUUACUGUAAAAAACAAAUAUAGAACGGCUUCUUUCGGGGUGCGGCUGCAAGUCACAGAUUCAGCCGAUCUCCGCGACUUCCUGGCGGUGGGAUCUUCGGGACAGUCACCGCCUCUACCAAGCCGCUGCCUGCGUUGAUCUCUACCCCUCUUUCGCCGUCCCCCUCCUCUGGAGGCAAUAAAACCACGACUGGGAAAGCAAAAAGAGAAAGCAAGCCAGCAAGGAAAGACUUUUCUAACAGACAGAGCUCCUUAUCGACAACAAGAAGAUGCGCGCCGUGCUGCUGUCGCCCCCCUCUCCACCCUGACCCCUCAGCUGUUCUGGACCACAAGAGAAGAGCUCUCUCAGACAUUUCACUGGGUGAAAAUGAGAGCAACUGUGGAUGUUAAAGCUCCUGAUUGCAGCUGUCUCACCUGCAAAACCACAUUUAACCUAGUCAUUACAGGUAAAUCAAUGGUGUAUAUUGUUAUGAUACAUAAAGUGAUUGGGAUUCUAUUUCCCAUGUUUCAAUCAUGCCUAACGUCUGACUUUAUAUUUAUUACUGUCAAUGCUGUAUGCUGUGUGGAGCUGCAGUCUGGCUUUGUAGUUAAAAAUUGUGAGCUUUGUUAAAAUAGGUUUAAUCUUAUGUUUUGCAAAAAGUUGUGGUUGGUAGCUUGUUGCAUCAUUAGAAAGCAAGCCUUCAUAUCAUAAGUCCAUAUCAUAAGUUUGUUUUGAUGAAAAUAGUAAACAAUAGAGCAUGAAUGCUAAACACCUUAAAGACACUGUGCAGUGCACAGCAAAGCUUUUCUUGCAGCUUUGCAGGCCUACAUGGCUUUUCAAAUCCAGUUUAUUUCUGAUCUGUAGAACCUUUUUCAAUUGAACUUGCCAAGACUAUUUCAAUUUUUCAUUGUCGUUCUUUCUAAUUUCAAAACAUAAACCAAUGCCUAAUCAUCUGGAUUAAUAUCAUAUAGUGGAAGUAAAAGACAUGAAAGUGACAAGUGCAAAGUUUUCCUUCUUUUCUGUGUGGUGUCUCUUUUGUCACACUCUUAUCCAGUUCCUAUGAAUGAUCUGAUUCAUAGGAACAUCUUCCAAGCAUCUCACAUCACCUGCACUGCAGUGAAACCAAAAAGCAAUUAAAGAUCUGAAUUCAUAUAGCUUUUGCAGGAACUCUCAGAAGCUUGUAUAACUCUUAAGAGCAUAACAUUUGAACUAAAAAAUGUACUGAUGAAUAAAAAAACAGCUGAGCAAUAGUAACAGUUUUUUUUUAUCAAGAAAGUAAGAGUUUUACAAAUAGAGUAAAGAUAAAAAGAAUGGUGAGUGUUCUUUUUUUGUUUUGAGGUGAUUAGGGAUAUUAUAACCAAUUAAGGAGAUUUGAGCUGGUGCUGAUCAAUGCAACAGUAUGGCAGUAUAGGGACAUUUUGAGAGUUUGUUGCA
Long non-coding RNA from Cyprinodon tularosa, 1508 nucleotides. RefSeq lists it as uncharacterized. The transcript has 3 exons. The record is from RefSeq and is a predicted model, not a curated record. NCBI's taxonomy places the organism in Eukaryota, Metazoa, Chordata, Actinopteri, Cyprinodontiformes, Cyprinodontidae.